Molecule: unclassified non-coding RNA, 335 nt
Filed under: soil metagenome
Description: partial contains 5.8S ribosomal RNA, internal transcribed spacer 2, and large subunit ribosomal RNA
Rfam family: 5.8S ribosomal RNA (bases 1-120)
Source: RNAcentral
GAUGAAGAACGUAGCGAAAUGCGAUAAGUAAUGUGAAUUGCAGAAUUCAGUGAAUCAUCGAAUCUUUGAACGCACAUUGCGCCCGCCAGUGUUCUGGCGGGCAUGCCUGUUCGAGCGUCAUUUCAACCAUCAAGCCCCCGGCUUGUGUUGGGGACCUGCGGCUGCCGCAGGCCCUGAAAACCAGUGGCGGGCUCGCUAGUCACUCCGAGCGUAGUAAUACAUCUCGCUCAGGGCGUGCUGCGGGUUCCGGCCGUUAAAAAGCCUUAUUUACCCAAGGUUGACCUCGGAUCAGGUAGGAAGACCCGCUGAACUUAAGCAUAUCAAUAAGCGGAGGA